CUUACACGGAGCAUGGCUAUAUAGCCCGCCAGCAAAUGACAGGCGUGCUUCAUAUUUCUUUUUUGACCUAUUGGCUCAUGUGAACCCCAUUUCAACUAUGCAAAGCGACAGACUUGCCUCACUUAACUAUGCCUGCUGUCGUCAACUAAAAUGUGUCUGAUACUCACCUACCUAUCCAUCGUUGAAUCAUGUUGGUCUAACUCUAUGAUUCCCAAUAAUACUGAUAGGAAGAGGUCGGGUCCCGCGGAAAUGGCCUAAAUGGAAUUGGUUUUCAUUAAUCAACAAAUGAAGUCCAAGAAACACCUCAAACAAAUCUCUUUCCUCGAAUCCUGUUCCUUCGAAAGGGCUUGGGCUGGAUGCAAGAAAUGAGGCAGAUGCAUUCAUCCUCUGUUUCGGAAACCACACCAAGCCACUCGCCAAAGCGUCUAUUUAUUUGUACUCGGAUGUCUAAUUGGAAUGGGAUGAAACGCUGGACAUUUCAGAAUGAUAAGGCUUGACCAGACUCUCACUUCCCUCUAUCGGUCACAUCUAGCGUUAGCAACGCUGGGAGAUCCCAUUAUCGAAAUUUGAGUUGCAGCGAAAGCUAUGAAAGCUUUCACAUAAGAAGGUGGAAGGAGGAUCUGGAACAGAGAAGAAAUAUUGACAUCGGCAAUCCACCUCCAUCCCCCGGAGCACAGUCCCUGGAUCCGGAUAUCUAAUACCCCAUCUUCAGACAUCGCGCAUUCUGGAUACUAAAUGCGUGCGGCAAAAAUCUAGAAAAAAACAGAAAAAGGAGGUUGCAGCGCGGCAAUCGCCAAAAAUAACCCGAUGCAGAUCAUCGCGGCUGCGCAAACAUUCCUCGUUCUCCAGGAUCUCACUGACGGUGUCGGGUCAAUCAUGUCCGUUGACGUACCCAUCUACAAGACUGUCUGACGCCUCCAAUCCCUUUUCGCUCUCUCAGCAGUUGUACGGACCCAAUCCGUCGAUGCCAUCUCAUUCGGGGAAAGCUAACAUCUAAACGGAUGACCUCCAUUGGGUCACGACCUUCUCGAUGAGCUUCUGCCAGAUAUCAUUGCACUCAUGGACACGCACAUUCCACGACUGCAAGUUUGCGCUCUGCCAUUAGUCAGUAUUAUGGGAAUGAGUAUGAGAUGCUGAUGCCAUGGACAAAGGAGGUGUCGAUUAAUAGGGGUAUGGAGUAAGGUAAGGAGUGCUUGUGAGGAAUUGUGAAAUAACCGGAUUUAACUAUCUCUCAACUCAGAGUUGUUGAAGCGGAAGAUGUGAGAGGCUACAUCCUCACUUUUAUUUAUUUGGCUCUCAAAUGCUUCUUCCUCUUCCUGCUAGGAAGGAAUUUGAUUCCCACUGUAUAUUUCAUAUUUCAAAUCGAAUACUUCAUAUGCAUUUCCUUUUUAUCAAUCUUGGAUGAAAGUGCCUUAUUCCAUGAAUAUUUAACUUGAUUCUGCUCUACAUUUUCAAAUUAUGAUAACCAAGCAAUAAAGCCAAUACCUGCCACAAUUCAGAAGGUAUGUCUCUAUAUAUAUAAUAAGGACAACACCAUAGUGUAACCGAAAAUGGAAAAUGCAGGGACUUUAUUAAAUUACUCCAGCAACGCCCGGAGCCAGCCCAAACCCGUUCGACAACACCUGUAUCCAAUCCACCUCAUCGAAGAUUAAUAGUAGACUCCAUGAUACCCAGC
Molecule: small RNA, 1675 nt
Filed under: Histoplasma capsulatum var. duboisii H88
Lineage: Eukaryota; Fungi; Ascomycota; Eurotiomycetes; Onygenales; Ajellomycetaceae
Description: Histoplasma capsulatum H88 hypothetical RNA
Source: RNAcentral